GAUGAACGCUGGCGGCGUGCCUAAUACAUGCAAGUCGAGCGAACAGACGAGGAGCUUGCUCCUCUGACGUUAGCGGCGCACGGGUGAGUAACACGUGGAUAACCUACCUAUAAGACUGGGAUAACUUCGGGAAACCGGAGCUAAUACCGGAUAAUAUAUUGAACCGCAUGGUUCAAUAGUGAAAGUCGGUUUUGCUGUCACUUAUAGAUGGAUCCGCGCCGCAUUAGCUAGUUGGUAAGGUAACGGCUUACCAAGGCAACGAUGCGUAGCCGACCUGAGAGGGUGAUCGGCCACACUGGAACUGAGACACGGUCCAGACUCCUACGGGAGGCAGCAGAAGGGAAUCUUCCGCAAUGGGCGAAAGCCUGACGGAGCAACGCCGCGUGAGUGAUGAAGGUCUUCGGAUCGGAAAACUCUGUUAUUAGGGAAGAACAAAUGUGUAAGUAACUAUGCACGUCUUGACGGUACCUAAUCAGAAAGCCACGGCUAACUACGUG
This 497-nucleotide ribosomal RNA is filed under the name uncultured bacterium. RNAcentral's name for it is "partial 16S ribosomal RNA". It matches the Rfam family "Bacterial small subunit ribosomal RNA", at positions 28 to 507 of the family's 1533-position model. The record is from RNAcentral.